This is a long non-coding RNA of Homarus americanus (American lobster), 229 nucleotides long. RefSeq lists it as uncharacterized. The transcript has 3 exons. NCBI's taxonomy places the organism in Eukaryota, Metazoa, Arthropoda, Malacostraca, Decapoda, Nephropidae. The record is from RefSeq and is a predicted model, not a curated record.
UGGUAAGUUAUUAACAGUGUUCAUCGCCUCAGUUGUAAACAUUAAGUCGACCAAAAUGUGUUAAUUAAAAUCCAAACUUGGAUGAUUUAAUACUUCACUAGGUCACUUUUACGGCUCCAAUUGGUUGUUACUGUGGUGUUAAGACAACUACCAUAUUGCUGCCUCGCUGAUCGUGGUUAAUGAAGUUCCUCGUGUCAUUCGUCGAGGACGGUGACGUGAAGAUGUAAGA